AAGAGAGACUUUGUAGAAGUGCCU
Molecule: non-coding RNA, 24 nt
Filed under: Cricetulus griseus (Chinese hamster)
Lineage: Eukaryota; Metazoa; Chordata; Mammalia; Rodentia; Cricetidae
Source: RNAcentral